Alligator mississippiensis (American alligator) is the source of this 917-nucleotide long non-coding RNA. RefSeq lists it as uncharacterized. Lineage: Eukaryota; Metazoa; Chordata; Crocodylia; Alligatoridae. The record is from RefSeq and is a predicted model, not a curated record. The transcript has 5 exons.
UUAGGGCUGGGCUAGUAGUUUGCUGCUGGCAGCUGGAAGAACAACAUCUGGCUGAGUUGCUGCUUGGAACAUCCUUGGAGGCAACACAGCUUGGAGUUGGCUUUGGUGAGGAGGAGAGGAUCUGGACCUGAAUACUUGCUGCGUGGCAAAGGCACCAACCCUCAUCUCCAUGAACCGAAGGAAGCUGCUGGACUCAAUGCAGAUGGGGAAAACCGAGGCACAGUGAGCCAAACUCUCUCCCAGUCAUUUCUCCAUUCAACUUCAUUUGUGCUGUAACAGAAACACGUCCAGUCCUGGUAUAACGGGAGAGGGAGACCCCCUCACAGCCUGGCUUAGCACAUGUGAGCUGUGAGGCCCACUUAAGUGAUGUGUCGGUAUUGCAAUGGCCUUCAAAACGUGGGGGAAUUGCACCCUUACCAGAUGUUAUACAUAGACUCACUUCGCCUGCCACUGCCCUGCCGCCUCCCUGGGAAGGAACACCAUUGCUAGCCAGCCUACGCAGCAGGCAUCUUAUUUGGGGGUAUGUGCUAUGUGGAUAAAUACGGUAAUACCUUGUCCUUGUUUAGUGUUUUUCAUCCAUCGAUCCCCAAGGGCGUUACAAAGGAGAUCAGCAUCUGCAUUUUACAGAUGGGAAAACUGAGGCAUAGUGAGGCAAAGUGACCUGACCAAGGUGACCGGCAAACUAGGGGCAGAGACGGGCAUAAAACUGUGAUCUCCUGAGUCCCGGUCCAGUGCCCUGGCAUUAAGCUAGCAUUGGGACCAUCCGUGGGUUUAAGACUGCUUGUAUUUGACUGCUUUGCUAACUGGAACAACUGGAACAAAAAAAGGGUUUGUUUUUUUGUCUUUAUUCCUUCUUUCCAGUACAAGGUGUCUCUUAUAUGGUGGUAUGUGUUAAAUGGGUAAAUAUGGUAAUACCU